RNAcentral lists this non-coding RNA (25 nucleotides) under Rattus norvegicus (Norway rat). Lineage: Eukaryota; Metazoa; Chordata; Mammalia; Rodentia; Muridae. The record is from RNAcentral.
UGCAGACUUGUGUCCUGCAUAGCCU